Chlorocebus sabaeus (green monkey) is the source of this 120-nucleotide small nucleolar RNA. It matches the Rfam family "Small nucleolar RNA SNORA42/SNORA80 family". From Rfam's summary of the family: The members of this family belong to the H/ACA class of snoRNAs that guide the sites of modification of uridines to pseudouridines. Human ACA42 (SNORA42) was cloned from HeLa cells by immunoprecipitation with anti-GAR1 antibody. The record is from Rfam. NCBI's taxonomy places the organism in Eukaryota, Metazoa, Chordata, Mammalia, Primates, Cercopithecidae.
GGGUUUGGAUUUAUAUCAGGCCCAUCCCCCUGGACCUCAUGCCAGAGCAAACUGUGGCCCCGAACCAUUGCCUGGCCUCUGUACCCAUGGGCCACUGGCACUGAAAAGGGUUACCCAGUG